This 775-nucleotide ribosomal RNA is filed under the name Puccinia pelargonii-zonalis. RNAcentral describes it as "partial large subunit ribosomal RNA". It matches the Rfam family "Eukaryotic large subunit ribosomal RNA", at positions 72 to 824 of the family's 3401-position model. The record is from RNAcentral. Lineage: Eukaryota; Fungi; Basidiomycota; Pucciniomycetes; Pucciniales; Pucciniaceae.
GGAUUCCCCUAGUAAUGGCGAAUGAAGAGGGAAAAGCCCAAAUUUGUAAUCUGGCUCUUUUAGAGUCCGAGUUGUAAUUUUAAGAACUGUUUUCUGUGCUGGACCAUGUACAAGUCUGUUGAAAAGCAGCAUCAUAGAAGGUGAUAAUCCUGUUCAUGAUAUGGACUACCAGUACAAUAUGAUACAGUCUCUAAGAGUCGAGUUGUUUGGGAAUGCAGCUCAAAGUGGGUGGUAAAUUCCAUCUAAGGCUAAAUAUUGAUGAGAGACCGAUAGUGAACAAGUACCGUGAGGGAAAGAUGAAAAGAACUUUGGAAAGAGAGUUAACAGUACGUGAAAUUGUUAAAAGGGAAACAAUUGAAGUUAGACUUGUUAUUGUUAGUUCAACCUUUUCUAAAGGAGUAUUCUAAUGAUUAACAGACCAAUAUCAAUUUUUGGGUGUUGGAUAAGGGUUCAAGGAAAUGUAGCAGUCUCUGACUGUGUUAUAGUCUCUGAGCUUUGAUACAAUGCUUAAGAUUGAGGAAUGCAGUAAGCCUUUUAAGGUGGAACAUAUUGUUGUUCUUCUUACUGAGGAUGUUGGUGCAAUAGCUUUAAAUGACCCGUCUUGAAACACGGACCAAGGAGUCUAACAUGCCUGCGAGUAUUUGGGUGUUUGAAACCCUUAUGCAUAAUGAAAGUAAAUGUAAAUGGGAUCUUUUUUAAGUGCACCAUUGACCAGUCCAGAUUAUUUUAUAUGAUGGUACUGAGUAAGAGCAAAGUAUGUUGGGACCCGAAAGAU